UUAAGCGACUAAGCGUACACGGUGGAUGCCCUGGCAGUCAGAGGCGAUGAAGGACGUGCUAAUCUGCGAUAAGCGUCGGUAAGGUGAUAUGAACCGUUAUAACCGGCGAUUUCCGAAUGGGGAAACCCAGUGUGUUUCGACACACUAUCAUUAACUGAAUCCAUAGGUUAAUGAGGCGAACCGGGGGAACUGAAACAUCUAAGUACCCCGAGGAAAAGAAAUCAACCGAGAUUCCCCCAGUAGCGGCGAGCGAACGGGGAGCAGCCCAGAGCCUGAAUCAGUGUGUGUGUUAGUGGAAGCGUCUGGAAAGGCGCGCGAUACAGGGUGACAGCCCCGUACACAAAAAUGCACAUGCUGUGAGCUCGAUGAGUAGGGCGGGACACGUGGUAUCCUGUCUGAAUAUGGGGGGACCAUCCUCCAAGGCUAAAUACUCCUGACUGACCGAUAGUGAACCAGUACCGUGAGGGAAAGGCGAAAAGAACCCCGGCGAGGGGAGUGAAAAAGAACCUGAAACCGUGUACGUACAAGCAGUGGGAGCACGCUUAGGCGUGUGACUGCGUACCUUUUGUAUAAUGGGUCAGCGACUUAUAUUCUGUAGCAAGGUUAACCGAAUAGGGGAGCCGAAGGGAAACCGAGUCUUAACUGGGCGUUAAGUUGCAGGGUAUAGACCCGAAACCCGGUGAUCUAGCCAUGGGCAGGUUGAAGGUUGGGUAACACUAACUGGAGGACCGAACCGACUAAUGUUGAAAAAUUAGCGGAUGACUUGUGGCUGGGGGUGAAAGGCCAAUCAAACCGGGAGAUAGCUGGUUCUCCCCGAAAGCUAUUUAGGUAGCGCCUCGUGAACUCAUCUCCGGGGGUAGAGCACUGUUUCGGCAAGGGGGUCAUCCCGACUUACCAACCCGAUGCAAACUGCGAAUACCGGAGAAUGUUAUCACGGGAGACACACGGCGGGUGCUAACGUCCGUCGUGAAGAGGGAAACAACCCAGACCGCCAGCUAAGGUCCCAAAGUCAUGGUUAAGUGGGAAACGAUGUGGGAAGGCCCAGACAGCCAGGAUGUUGGCUUAGAAGCAGCCAUCAUUUAAAGAAAGCGUAAUAGCUCACUGGUCGAGUCGGCCUGCGCGGAAGAUGUAACGGGGCUAAACCAUGCACCGAAGCUGCGGCAGCGACGCUGAUGCGUUGUUGGGUAGGGGAGCGUUCUGUAAGCCUGUGAAGGUGUGCUGUGAGGCAUGCUGGAGGUAUCAGAAGUGCGAAUGCUGACAUAAGUAACGAUAAAGCGGGUGAAAAGCCCGCUCGCCGGAAGACCAAGGGUUCCUGUCCAACGUUAAUCGGGGCAGGGUGAGUCGACCCCUAAGGCGAGGCCGAAAGGCGUAGUCGAUGGGAAACAGGUUAAUAUUCCUGUACUUGGUGUUACUGCGAAGGGGGGACGGAGAAGGCUAUGUUGGCCGGGCGACGGUUGUCCCGGUUUAAGCGUGUAGGCUGGUUUUCCAGGCAAAUCCGGAAAAUCAAGGCUGAGGCGUGAUGACGAGGCACUACGGUGCUGAAGCAACAAAUGCCCUGCUUCCAGGAAAAGCCUCUAAGCAUCAGGUAACAUCAAAUCGUACCCCAAACCGACACAGGUGGUCAGGUAGAGAAUACCAAGGCGCUUGAGAGAACUCGGGUGAAGGAACUAGGCAAAAUGGUGCCGUAACUUCGGGAGAAGGCACGCUGAUAUGUAGGUGAAGUCCCUCGCGGAUGGAGCUGAAAUCAGUCGAAGAUACCAGCUGGCUGCAACUGUUUAUUAAAAACACAGCACUGUGCAAACACGAAAGUGGACGUAUACGGUGUGACGCCUGCCCGGUGCCGGAAGGUUAAUUGAUGGGGUCAGCGCAAGCGAAGCUCUUGAUCGAAGCCCCGGUAAACGGCGGCCGUAACUAUAACGGUCCUAAGGUAGCGAAAUUCCUUGUCGGGUAAGUUCCGACCUGCACGAAUGGCGUAAUGAUGGCCAGGCUGUCUCCACCCGAGACUCAGUGAAAUUGAACUCGCUGUGAAGAUGCAGUGUACCCGCGGCAAGACGGAAAGACCCCGUGAACCUUUACUAUAGCUUGACACUGAACAUUGAGCCUUGAUGUGUAGGAUAGGUGGGAGGCUUAGAAGUGUGGACGCCAGUCUGCAUGGAGCCGACCUUGAAAUACCACCCUUUAAUGUUUGAUGUUCUAACGUUGACCCGUAAUCCGGGUUGCGGACAGUGUCUGGUGGGUAGUUUGACUGGGGCGGUCUCCUCCUAAAGAGUAACGGAGGAGCACGAAGGUUGGCUAAUCCUGGUCGGACAUCAGGAGGUUAGUGCAAUGGCAUAAGCCAGCUUGACUGCGAGCGUGACGGCGCGAGCAGGUGCGAAAGCAGGUCAUAGUGAUCCGGUGGUUCUGAAUGGAAGGGCCAUCGCUCAACGGAUAAAAGGUACUCCGGGGAUAACAGGCUGAUACCGCCCAAGAGUUCAUAUCGACGGCGGUGUUUGGCACCUCGAUGUCGGCUCAUCACAUCCUGGGGCUGAAGUAGGUCCCAAGGGUAUGGCUGUUCGCCAUUUAAAGUGGUACGCGAGCUGGGUUUAGAACGUCGUGAGACAGUUCGGUCCCUAUCUGCCGUGGGCGCUGGAGAACUGAGGGGGGCUGCUCCUAGUACGAGAGGACCGGAGUGGACGCAUCACUGGUGUUCGGGUUGUCAUGCCAAUGGCACUGCCCGGUAGCUAAAUGCGGAAGAGAUAAGUGCUGAAAGCAUCUAAGCACGAAACUUGCCCCGAGAUGAGUUCUCCCUGACCCUUUAAGGGUCCUGAAGGAACGUUGAAGACGACGACGUUGAUAGGCCGGGUGUGUAAGCGCAGCGAUGCGUUGAGCUAACCGGUACUAAUGAACCGUGAGGCUUAACCUU
RNAcentral lists this ribosomal RNA (2902 nucleotides) under Escherichia coli. RNAcentral's name for it is "bacterial LSU rRNA". It matches the Rfam family "Bacterial large subunit ribosomal RNA". Lineage: Bacteria; Pseudomonadati; Pseudomonadota; Gammaproteobacteria; Enterobacterales; Enterobacteriaceae. RNAcentral also lists the same sequence under 1 other name. The record is from RNAcentral.